UUCUUCCUCUAUCAUUCCCCGUCCCUCUAUACUAAUUUAAUGUUAAUUUCAGAAAAUAUUAUAUUGUGACCACGCGCAAUGUGGUUAGUAGAAUCAGUGUUUGCUUCGUCAUAGUAUUUUGAAUAUUUUUUAGAGCACAAUAGCUCUGAUUAAAUUUUAAUUAGAAUAAUCAAACGGGAAGAUAGAGUCAGUGUUUGUUCGUCGAUUAUAAUUUAUGCGGACGCGUUAUUAGUUUCUUAUUUUUUAUUUUUUUUCUUUUUAUUUUAAAUAUUCGUUUCCGGUACAGAGUAGAGUCGGUGCUUCUCUCAAGAGAAUACGGCGAUCAUCCAUCACGCGAAGAGAUUUCUUCCAUCCUUCCAUCCAUCCUGAUGACUAUCCAACCUUCUUCUCGAUGACUUCUUGGCUACAAUAACAAUGAAGGCGUUCGCAUCGUAUGUUUGUUUCAGAAAUCUCCUUCAGCUUUCAACAAUGGAUUAUGUGGAAUGGAUUACAUCUUAUCAUCAGAUAAAUAUUCUAAUUUUUUAUAUUAAUAGGUAAUAUAGAAUAGGUUGUAGGAAACAUUUAGCUUUUUUUCUUGAUAGAUGGGAUUUAUAAACGAUGUUCUGUUCUUCUUCUUCUUAUUGUUAAAAAAAGCAGCUUCGCUUUCCCCACUUUGAUUCGUUUUCCAAAUCAACAUUUCCUAUUUUUCAAGGCAAUAUGAUCAUUUUGCUAUCCUUAAUUCCUUAAUUUCCUCAUUAUAAACAAAUGCUUGAUACUUGAUAGCUACAUGACUUUGUUCAUUAGCCAUCAUUGGUAUAUACUGAUUUGCAUUUUCCUCUUGCCACAUGUGGUUUUAUGUCGUAUCACAAAUUUUUUGGAAUUUGUGUGUCAUCAAUCAGUGUGAAUGUAAAUAUGAUGAAUGUUGAUACGAAGAGAAUUUGUUAGAUGUUCAAUCAAAGCUGAAUUAGGAACAAAGUGUUUAAAUUCUUAUAUAGAUAAGAAACAUAAAAAAAAAACUUUCAGAAUAAAUUAAAUGUUAAUGUUAUAUUUUUAAUUCAAGUUUGUUUCAGGAUUUCUUACAGGAACAGAAGAUUGUAUAAUUGAU
Molecule: long non-coding RNA, 1084 nt
Organism: Apis cerana (Asiatic honeybee)
Lineage: Eukaryota; Metazoa; Arthropoda; Insecta; Hymenoptera; Apidae
Source: RefSeq, a predicted model, not a curated record